Molecule: ribosomal RNA, 465 nt
Filed under: Vreelandella stevensii
Lineage: Bacteria; Pseudomonadati; Pseudomonadota; Gammaproteobacteria; Oceanospirillales; Halomonadaceae
Description: partial 16S ribosomal RNA
Rfam family: Bacterial small subunit ribosomal RNA
Source: RNAcentral
CCUACGGGUGGCAGCAGUGGGGAAUAUUGGACAAUGGGGGCAACCCUGAUCCAGCCAUGCCGCGUGUGUGAAGAAGGCCCUCGGGUUGUAAAGCACUUUCAGUGAGGAAGAACGCCUGGUGGUUAAUACCCAUCAGGAAAGACAUCACUCACAGAAGAAGCACCGGCUAACUCCGUGCCAGCAGCCGCGGUAAUACGGAGGGUGCGAGCGUUAAUCGGAAUUACUGGGCGUAAAGCGCGCGUAGGUGGCUUGAUAAGCCGGUUGUGAAAGCCCCGGGCUCAACCUGGGAACGGCAUCCGGAACUGUCAAGCUAGAGUGCAGGUGAGGAAGGUAGAAUUCCCGGUGUAGCGGUGAAAUGCGUAGAGAUCGGGAGGAAUACCAGUGGCGAAGGCGGCCUUCUGGACUGACACUGACACUGAGGUGCGAAAGCGUGGGUAGCAAACAGGAUUAGAUACCCUUGUAGUC